This is a long non-coding RNA of Ailuropoda melanoleuca (giant panda), 893 nucleotides long. RefSeq lists it as uncharacterized. NCBI's taxonomy places the organism in Eukaryota, Metazoa, Chordata, Mammalia, Carnivora, Ursidae. The record is from RefSeq and is a predicted model, not a curated record. The transcript is spliced from 3 exons.
UCCCAGGACCCUGAGAUCAUGACCUGAGCCAAAAUCAAGAGUCAGAUGCUCAACCAACUGAGCCACCCAGACCCCCAGAGAAGCUGACGUUUGAACUGACGUCUGAAAGACAUUGGUGCUCCUGGGUCUUGGGCUUUGACUCAGACCGGGACUUAAUCAUUGGUGCCCCGUCUCAAGCCUUCAGACUUGGAGUGCCUUACACCACUGCCUUACCUGGUUCUCCAGCUUGCAAAGGGCACAUCAUGGGACUUCUCAGCCUACGUAAUCACGCAAUCAUGAAUGAUGGCCAAGCUGUAUUAGACCACAGUCCAGAGAAAUCCCAGCCAGAUGGACAAUAGAGCAUGCGGAUCCAAGAUGACUCUGACGUUGAGUGUCCACACCUCCCAAUCUCCACACGUCCCCUCCUGUCCUUGGUAAAUUCCUCCUGGAAGAAUUGUUAUUGCAUCCUUCCCACCCUCCUCCUGCCAAAAACUGAAACAAACCAAAAAAUCAGGUGGGGGACAAGUAGAGAUAAGACCAGAGCAAAGCGCAGUAACGUGGGUCAAGAAACAGAACCGAGAGUUUUCUUUUUUCUAUUAUUUUGGUGUGUCUGGUUUGAGCUGAGGAGGAAGAGCCUGCUGAGGUCGGAGGAAAACACCUUGCCAGUGUGAUAAACCCCACAUGUGGGCAUGGGAAAGGGGACACAAAUAAACUCUGCUUUCUCCUUGAGUUUGAUUCCUUUUAGCAAACCCAAUUUGCUGAAUGGAGGUGGGGAGGGUGGGGGAGAGAGUGGUACAAUUUUGUUACCUGGACAUUUUAUUUUUUAAAAAAGGUUUUGGAUAAAGCUACUAAGAGAAUCCAUGGACGAAUGGAUGAACAGAGUGUGGUAUAUCCCCAUAAUGGAAUAUUAUUCA